UAGGGAAUCUUGCGCAAUGGGCGAAAGCCUGACGCAGCCACGCCGCGUGAGUGAUGAAGGCCUUCGGGUCGUAAAGCUCUUUCAGCAGGGACGAAAAUGACGGUACCUGCAGAAGAAGCCCCGGCCAACUACGUGCCAGCAGCCGCGGUAACACGUAGGGGGCAAGCGUUGUCCGGAUUUAUUGGGCGUAAAGGGCUCGUAGGCUGUUCAGUAAGUCAGGUGUGAAAACUCGAGGCUCAACCUCGAGACGCCACUUGAUACUGCUGUGACUUGAGUUCGGUAGAGGAGUGUGGAAUUCCUAGUGUAGCGGUGAAAUGCGCAGAUAUUAGGAGGAACACCAACGGCGAAGGCAGCACUCUGGGCCGAUACUGACGCUGAGGAGCGAAAGCGUGGGGAGCGAACAGG
RNAcentral lists this ribosomal RNA (405 nucleotides) under uncultured bacterium. RNAcentral describes it as "bacterial SSU rRNA". It matches the Rfam family "Bacterial small subunit ribosomal RNA", at positions 355 to 776 of the family's 1533-position model. The record is from RNAcentral.